Molecule: ribosomal RNA, 492 nt
Filed under: uncultured bacterium
Lineage: Bacteria
Description: partial 16S ribosomal RNA
Rfam family: Bacterial small subunit ribosomal RNA
Source: RNAcentral
GAUGAACGCUAGCUACAGGCUUAACACAUGCAAGUCGAGGGGAAACGACAUCGAAAGCUUGCUUUUGAUGGGCGUCGACCGGCGCACGGGUGAGUAACGCGUAUCCAACCUGCCCAUCACUUGGGAAUAACCUUGCGAAAGUAAGACUAAUACCCAAUGACAUCCCACGAAGACAUCUGAAUGGGAUUAAAGAUUUAUCGGUGAUGGAUGGGGAUGCGUCUGAUUAGCUUGUUGGCGGGGUAACGGCCCACCAAGGCAACGAUCAGUAGGGGUUCUGAGAGGAAGGUCCCCCACAUUGGAACUGAGACACGGUCCAAACUCCUACGGGAGGCAGCAGUGAGGAAUAUUGGUCAAUGGGCGAGAGCCUGAACCAGCCAAGUAGCGUGCAGGAUGACGGCCCUAUGGGUGGUAAACUGCUUUUAUAAGGGAAUAAAGUGGGUCUCGUGAGACUUUUUGCAUGUACCUUAUGAAUAAGGACCGGCUAAUUCCGUG